UACGGAGGGUGCAAGCGUUACUCGGAAUCACUGGGCGUAAAGCGCGCGCAGGCGGCCUUUUAAGUUGGAUGUGAAAGCCUAUGGCUCAACCAUAGAACUGCAUCCAAAACUAUCAGGCUAGAGUGUGGGAGAGGAAGAUGGAAUUAGUUGUGUAGGGGUAAAAUCCGUAGAGAUAACUAGGAAUACCAAGAGCGAAGGCAAUCUUCUGGAACAUUACUGACGCUGAGGCGCGAAAGCGUGGGGAGCAAACAGGAUUAGAUACCCUGGUAGUCCACGCCCUAAACGAUGAAUGUUAGUCGUCGGGUAGCUAGUCUAUUCGGUGAUGCAGCUAACGCAUUAAACAUUCCGCCUGGGGAGUACGGUCGCAAGAUUAAAACUCAAAGGAAUAGACGGGGACCCGCACAAGUGGUGGAGCAUGUGGUUUAAUUCGAAGAUACGCGAAGAACCUUACCUAGCCUUGACAUAUUUUAGAACACUUUAGAGAUAGAGUGGUGCCUUCGGGAGCUAAUAUACAGGUGCUGCACGGCUGUCGUCAGCUCGUGUCGUGAGAUGUUGGGUUAAGUCCCGCAACGAGCGCAACCCUCGUCACUAGUUACUAACGGUUCGGCCGAGGACUCUAGUGAGACUGCCUUCGUAAGGAGGAGGAAGGUGAGGACGACGUCAAGUCAUCAUGGCCCUUACGGCUAGGGCAACACACGUGCUACAAUGGCCAGGACAAUGAGACGCGAUACCGCGAGGUGGAGCAAAUCUAUAAACCUGGUCUCAGUUCGGAUUGUAGUCUGCAACUCGACUACAUGAAGCUGGAAUCACUAGUAAUCGUAGAUCAGCUAUGCUACGGUGAAUACGUUCCCGGGUCUUGUACACACCGCCCGU
RNAcentral lists this ribosomal RNA (873 nucleotides) under uncultured bacterium. RNAcentral describes it as "bacterial SSU rRNA". It matches the Rfam family "Bacterial small subunit ribosomal RNA", at positions 524 to 1397 of the family's 1533-position model. The record is from RNAcentral.